ACAACGUGAUGAGAAACAUUGGUCCGUGUUUCGGAGGCAGCUUAAGACCCUGC
Molecule: small nucleolar RNA, 53 nt
Filed under: Colletotrichum fructicola Nara gc5
Lineage: Eukaryota; Fungi; Ascomycota; Sordariomycetes; Glomerellales; Glomerellaceae
Description: small nucleolar RNA SNORD18
Source: RNAcentral